Molecule: transfer RNA, 72 nt
Filed under: Streptomyces lunaelactis
Lineage: Bacteria; Bacillati; Actinomycetota; Actinomycetes; Kitasatosporales; Streptomycetaceae
Description: tRNA-Ser
Source: RNAcentral
CGCCGCACGGCACCGCGACGCUUUUGAAAACCGUCGUGGCGCGAGCCACCGUGGGUUCAAAUCCCACACCCA